This 1334-nucleotide long non-coding RNA is filed under the name Mytilus galloprovincialis (Mediterranean mussel). The record is from RNAcentral. Lineage: Eukaryota; Metazoa; Mollusca; Bivalvia; Mytilida; Mytilidae.
UGUGCCUGUGUGCAUCAUUCAAAAUUAGAGAAUGUAAUUUUGAAGUAUCAAGUCUCAAUCCAAGAUUAUGAAUGAAUAAAAUAUAGAAUUACGGUGGGGGGGGGGGGGGGGGGGUAUGACCUUUAUCGGAACUCCGGGAUCGGGUGUUUUUAAGCUCGGGAUUUCGGGAUUGACCCUUUCGGGAUCCGGGAAUUCUAUUUCCGAAUUUCGGGUAGUUGGGAUUUAAAUUUUUUUUUAAUUCGGGACCUCGCCGGAUUUCGUGUUUUUAAGCCCGGGAUUUCGGGAUCUGGAUCCUUCCUUCCCUCCUCCCUCUAUUAUGGUUAAAGAAAAAAGGUCAGGGAAGUUUUGUGAUACUUGUAACUGCAAUUUAAUAUUUAGUGGAAUGAGAGGUGAAAUGUGUUCAGACUAUUACAUUUCGAUUUUUUUUUUUAAAUUUAACCAAAGUUUACUGCAAGGGGUGUUUAACGACCUCGAUGAUUAUCCAUGAGGAUCUCGCACUCGGUCAGCUCUAGGUUUUCACCUAGUUCAUGAUCAUACAAGAAUUGAGAAGCCUGUGGUUUACUAGUCUUAUAAUAUGAGACUUUGGAGUUCAUAUAAUUUACAUUCAACGUUUUUUAUCGAAUAUUUCAAGGCUUUUUGACUAUCAAUGUUGAUCCCCCUUCCAAUUGAUUGGAUAAAAUGAAUGGAUUGCCGCCCCUAUUUCUAACUGAAGACCUAUAAACUGACUGGUAUUCCAAUUUGUUAAAAGAAAUAAUUGGUAUCUCUAUUGAUUCAAUAUCGUAAUGCCGAAAAACAAUCAUUUGUUUCCACGAAUUCCGAACAGCUAGAAAUAUAUUCCCGAGUUUCAAUUUGAGUAACUCGAAUAAUUCAAGCCCUUUCCAUGUCCGAUUUUCUCCCACACGAGAAAUGUAGCAUUCGUACAUCAGCUGAAUAAAACGACUGAAUUAUUCGGGUUACAAUUUGUGUAGAUCCCGAAUGCACAUAAAAGUAAAGGUCCAGUCCGACUUUCGGAAUGGACUGUUGUAGAUUUCAGGUUGAUUUCUAGAAAUAAAAAUCAUACAAAAAUGUUUCACGCAAAUAUUUGUCUUCAGACGUGUAAAGUUAUACAACGGUUACUAGCCGGUUUGGAUUGUGAUAAAAAGAAGCGCAUGCAAUGCAUAAAAUAUAUAAUGUCGUGGCUCAGGGAUGUGUUGAAUUAUAGAAAUGCUUGUGCGGCACAAAGAUUAGAUUAAUUUACCCAAAUGUACUAAGAAUUACCACACAACUUAAAUUUACUUAAAUAUUGAUUUGUUAUCCUGUGCCAGACAGAUGGCUGAUAUUCUGAGAAGAGACCU